This 305-nucleotide unclassified non-coding RNA is filed under the name plant metagenome. RNAcentral describes it as "partial contains 5.8S ribosomal RNA, internal transcribed spacer 2, and large subunit ribosomal RNA". The stretch from base 1 to 105 matches the Rfam family "5.8S ribosomal RNA", at positions 50 to 154 of the family's 154-position model. The record is from RNAcentral.
GAAAUGCGAUAAGUAAUGUGAAUUGCAGAAUUCAGUGAAUCAUCGAAUCUUUGAACGCACAUUGCGCCCGCCAGUAUUCUGGCGGGCAUGCCUGUUCGAGCGUCAUUUCAACCAUCAAGCCCCCGGCUUGUGUUGGGGACCUGCGGCUGCCCGCAGGCCCUGAAAAACAGUGGCGGGCUCGCUGUCACACCGAGCGUAGUAACAUACAUUCUCGCUCAGGGCGUGCUGCGGGUUCCGGCCGUUAAACGACCUUCAUAACCCAAGGUUGACCUCGGAUCAGGUAGGAAGACCCGCUGAACUUAAGC